CCUACGGGAGGCAGCAGUGAGGAAUAUUGGUCAAUGGGCGCGAGCCUGAACCAGCCAUGUAGCGUGAAGGAUGACUGCCCUACGGUUUUUAAACUUCUUUUAUAAAGGCAUAAAGUGAGGCACGUGUGCCUUUUUGUAUGUACUUUAUGACUUAGUAUCGGCUACCUCCGUGCCAGCAGCCGCGGUAAUACGGAGGAUCCGAGCGUUAUCCGGAUUUAUUGGGUUAAAAGUGAGCGUAGAUGGUUUGUUACGUCAGUUGUGAAAGUUUGGGGGUCAACCGUAAAAUUGCAAUUGAGACUGGCAGGCUUGAGUACAGGUGAGGUAGGCGGAAUUCGUGGUGUAGCGGUGAAAUGCUUAGAUAUCACGAAGAACACCGAUGGCGAAGGCAGCUUACUAAACUGCCACUGACAUUGAUGCACGAAAGUGUGGGUAGCAAACAGGAUUAGAUACCCCGGUAGUC
RNAcentral lists this ribosomal RNA (460 nucleotides) under uncultured bacterium. RNAcentral describes it as "partial 16S ribosomal RNA". It matches the Rfam family "Bacterial small subunit ribosomal RNA", at positions 338 to 795 of the family's 1533-position model. The record is from RNAcentral.